This 253-nucleotide ribosomal RNA is filed under the name uncultured bacterium. RNAcentral's name for it is "partial 16S ribosomal RNA". It matches the Rfam family "Bacterial small subunit ribosomal RNA", at positions 524 to 776 of the family's 1533-position model. The record is from RNAcentral.
UACGGGGGGGGCAAGCGUUAUCCGGAAUUAUUGGGCGUAAAGCGUCCGUAGGUGGCUAGUCAAGUCUGCGGUCAAAGACUGGGGCUUAACCCUGGAAAGGCCGUGGAAACUGACGAGCUAGAGUGCAGUAGGGGUAGAGGGAAUUCCCGGUGUAGCGGUGAAAUGCGUAGAGCUCGGGAAGAACAUCGGUGGCGAAAGCGCUCUACUGGACUGCAACUGACACUCAGGGACGAAAGCUAGGGGAGCGAAUGGG